ACGAACGCUGGCGGCGUGCUUAACACAUGCAAGUCGAACGGAAAGGCCCUGCUUUUGUGGGGUGCUCGAGUGGCGAACGGGUGAGUAACACGUGAGUAACCUGCCCUUGACUUUGGGAUAACUUCAGGAAACUGGGGCUAAUACCGGAUAGGAGCCCCUGCUGCAUGGUGGGGGUUGGAAAGUUUCGGCGGUUGGGGAUGGACUCGCGGCUUAUCAGCUUGUUGGUGGGGUAGUGGCUUACCAAGGCUUUGACGGGUAGCCGGCCUGAGAGGGUGACCGGCCACAUUGGGACUGAGAUACGGCCCAGACUCCUACGGGAGGCAGCAGUGGGGAAUAUUGCACAAUGGGCGAAAGCCUGAUGCAGCAACGCCGCGUGCGGGAUGACGGCCUUCGGGUUGUAAACCGCCUUCGCCUGUGACGAAGCGUGAGUGACGGUAAUGGGUAAAGAAGCACCGGCUAACUACGUG
RNAcentral lists this ribosomal RNA (467 nucleotides) under uncultured bacterium. RNAcentral's name for it is "partial 16S ribosomal RNA". It matches the Rfam family "Bacterial small subunit ribosomal RNA", at positions 29 to 507 of the family's 1533-position model. The record is from RNAcentral.